This 1409-nucleotide ribosomal RNA is filed under the name uncultured marine bacterium. Its description in RNAcentral is "16S ribosomal RNA". It matches the Rfam family "Bacterial small subunit ribosomal RNA". The record is from RNAcentral.
GAGCAGCGCAAGGGUGAGUAAUACAUGGCUAACAUACCCCAUACAUGAGAAUAACUAUUAGAAAUGAUAGCUAAUGCUCAAUAGUUUCUUAAGGCCGCAUGGUCUAAAGAAUAAAGGUAGGGAUCCUUCGGGACCUUCUGGUUUGGGAGUGGGUCAUGGGCUAUCAGCUAGUUGGUGAGGUAAAGGCUCACCAAGGCUAAGACGGCUAGGCGAUCUGAGAGGAUGAUCGCCCACAUCGGGACUGAGACACUGCCCGGACUCCUACGGGAGGCUGCAGUCGAGAAUCUUCCGCAAUGGGCGCAAGCCUGACGGAGCGACGCCGCGUGAGGGACGAAGGCUUUAGGGUCGUAAACCUCUUUCGCUUGUUAAGAAAAGUGUAUGUUAAUAGCAUGCACCCUGACAAAGGCAAGUAAAGAAGCACCGGCUAAAUCCGUGCCAGCAGCCGCGGUAAUACGGAUGGUGCAAGCGUUACUCGGAAUCACUGGGCGUAAAGCGUUCGUAGGUGGUUUGUUAAGUUGGAUGUGUAAUCCCACGGCUCAACCGUGGAACUGCGUUCAAAACUGAUGAACUAGAGAGCAGUAGGGGACAAGGGAACUUCAGGUGGAGCGGUGAAAUGCGUAGAUAUCUGAAGGAACACCGAUGGCGAAAGCACUUGUCUGGGCUGAUUCUGACACUGAGGAACGAAAGCUAGGGUAGCGAACGGGAUUAGAUACCCCGGUAGUCCUAGCCGUAAACGAUGGAUACUAGCUUGUGGGAUCUUCGGAUUUCACUGGCGUAGCUAACGCGUUAAGUAUCCCGCCUGGGGAGUAUGCACGCAAGUGUAAAACUCAAAGGAAUUGACGGGGGCUCACACAAGCGGUGGAGCAUGUGGUUUAAUUCGAAGCUACGCGAAGAACCUCACCCAGGUUUGACAUGGAUGAAUUAGGUCUGAGAAACCAGACUGACACCCUUCGGGGCGGAACAUUCACAGGUGUUGCAUGGCUGUCGUCAGCUCGUGUCGUGAGAUGUCGGGUUAAGUCCCUAAACGAGCGAAACCCCUAUUGUUAGUUGCUAACGAGUAAUGUCGAGGACUUUAACAAGACCGCCGUGGUUAACACGGAGGAAGGUGGGGAUGACGUCAAGUCAUCAUGGCCCUUAUACCUGGGGCUACACACGUGCUACAAUGGGCAGUACAGAGGGUUGCGAAGUCGUGAGGCUAAGCUAAUCCCUUAAAGCUGCUCCUAGUUCGGAUUGUAGGCUGAAACUCGCCUACAUGAAGCUGGAAUCGCUAGUAAUCGCGGGUCAGCAUACCGCGGUGAAUAUGUUCCUGAGCCUUGUACACACCGCCCGUCAAGCCACGAAAGUUGGUAGUGCUUGAAGACGUACGUUUAACCUUCGGGAGAGCGUGCGCCCAUGGCAAGAUCGAUAAU